GGGGAUUUAGCUCAGUGGUAGAGCGCUUGCCUAGCAAGCGCAAGGCCCUGGGUUCGGUCCCCAGCCCCCCCU
RNAcentral lists this transfer RNA (72 nucleotides) under Rattus norvegicus (Norway rat). It matches the Rfam family "tRNA". From Rfam's summary of the family: Transfer RNA (tRNA) molecules are approximately 80 nucleotides in length. Their secondary structure includes four short double-helical elements and three loops (D, anti-codon, and T loops). Lineage: Eukaryota; Metazoa; Chordata; Mammalia; Rodentia; Muridae. The record is from Rfam by way of RNAcentral.